Molecule: small nucleolar RNA, 106 nt
Organism: Octodon degus (degu)
Lineage: Eukaryota; Metazoa; Chordata; Mammalia; Rodentia; Octodontidae
Product: small nucleolar RNA U13
Exons: 1
Source: RefSeq, a predicted model, not a curated record
AUCUGUUGGUUCGUGAGCGUGAUGAUUGAGGGGGUGUUCAUGCCUUAUGCAUGAGAUGUCCCUCCCUCAAACCUUGUUAUGACGUGAGCACAUUACCCGUCUCACA